AAGACUAUACUUUCAGAGAUCACUUCUGUAGUUUAUUAUUAGAAAGUUUCUCUGAAUGUGUAGAACACUGGAAAAAAUGAUCUAAGACUACCGUGAAU
Non-coding RNA from Gorilla gorilla gorilla (western lowland gorilla), 98 nucleotides. The record is from Rfam. NCBI's taxonomy places the organism in Eukaryota, Metazoa, Chordata, Mammalia, Primates, Hominidae.